ACGCUCGACACCUACGGGGGGCAGCAGUGGGGAAUAUUGCACAAUGGGGGAAACCCUGAUGCAGCGACGCCGCGUGAAGGAAGAAGUAUUUCGGUAUGUAAACUUCUAUCAGCAGGGAAGAAGAUGACGGUACCUGAGUAAGAAGCACCGGCUAAAUACGUGCCUGCAGCCGCGGUAAUCUGAGCGGGCUGGCAAGGC
RNAcentral lists this ribosomal RNA (198 nucleotides) under uncultured bacterium. RNAcentral's name for it is "partial 16S ribosomal RNA". It matches the Rfam family "Bacterial small subunit ribosomal RNA", at positions 328 to 539 of the family's 1533-position model. The record is from RNAcentral.